GAUGAACGCUGGCGGCGUGCCUAAUACAUGCAAGUCGAGCGAACAGAUGAGGAGCUUGCUCCUCUGACGUUAGCGGCGGACGGGUGAGUAACACGUGGAUAACCUACCUAUAAGACUGGGAUAACUUCGGGAAACCGGAGCUAAUACCGGAUAAUAUAUUGAACCGCAUGGUUCAAUAGUGAAAGACGGUUUUGCUGUCACUUAUAGAUGGAUCCGCGCCGCAUUAGCUAGUUGGUAAGGUAACGGCUUACCAAGGCAACGAUGCGUAGCCGACCUGAGAGGGUGAUCAGCCACACUGGAACUGAGACACGGUCCAGACUCCUACGGGAGGCAGCAGUAGGGAAUCUUCCGCAAUGGGCGAAAGCCUGACGGAGCAACGCCGCGUGAGUGAUGAAGGUCUUCGGAUCGUAAAACUCUGUUAUUAGGGAAGAACAAAUGUGUAAGUAACUAUGCACGUCUUGACGGUACCUAAUCAGAAAGCAACGGCUAACUACGUG
Molecule: ribosomal RNA, 497 nt
Filed under: uncultured bacterium
Lineage: Bacteria
Description: partial 16S ribosomal RNA
Rfam family: Bacterial small subunit ribosomal RNA
Source: RNAcentral